Molecule: ribosomal RNA, 233 nt
Filed under: uncultured bacterium
Lineage: Bacteria
Description: partial 16S ribosomal RNA
Rfam family: Bacterial small subunit ribosomal RNA
Source: RNAcentral
UGAGCAAUCUGCCCUUCUCAUCGGAAUAAGCGUUGGAAACGACGUCUAAUGCCGAAUACGACCUCCUUUCGCAUGAUCGGAGGUGGAAAGCUCCGGCGGAGAAGGAUGGGCUCGCGGCCUAUCAGCUAGUUGGUGUGGGUAAUGGCCCACCAAGGCGACGACGGGUAGCCGGCCUGAGAGGGUGACCGGCCAUACUGGGACUGAGACACGGCCCAGACCUCCUACGAGAGCAG